UCAUGGCAAGCGUUGUCCGGCCUGAGCUUGAUCCUGGCUCAGGACGAACGCUGGCGGCGUGCCUAAUACAUGCAAGUCGAACGCUUUUUCUUUCACCGGAGCUUGCUCCACCGAAAGAAAAAGAGUGGCGAACGGGUGAGUAACACGUGGGUAACCUGCCCAUCAGAAGGGGAUAACACUUGGAAACAGGUGCUAAUACCGUAUAACACUAUUUUCCGCAUGGAAGAAAGUUGAAAGGCGCUUUUGCGUCACUGAUGGAUGGACCCGCGGUGCAUUAGCUAGUUGGUGAGGUAACGGCUCACCAAGGCAACGAUGCAUAGCCGACCUGAGAGGGUGAUCGGCCACACUGGGACUGAGACACGGCCCAGACUCCUACGGGAGGCAGCAGUAGGGAAUCUUCGGCAAUGGACGAAAGUCUGACCGAGCAACGCCGCGUGAGUGAAGAAGGUUUUCGGAUCGUAAAACUCUGUUGUUAGAGAAGAACAAGGAUGAGAGUAAAAUGUUCAUCCCUUGACGGUAUCUAACCAGAAAGCCGACGUGA
Molecule: ribosomal RNA, 541 nt
Filed under: Enterococcus sp. M14-C10
Lineage: Bacteria; Bacillati; Bacillota; Bacilli; Lactobacillales; Enterococcaceae
Description: bacterial SSU rRNA
Rfam family: Bacterial small subunit ribosomal RNA
Source: RNAcentral